Molecule: long non-coding RNA, 2616 nt
Filed under: Homo sapiens (human)
Lineage: Eukaryota; Metazoa; Chordata; Mammalia; Primates; Hominidae
Description: non-protein coding lnc-ADAD1-3:1
Source: RNAcentral
UAAAAUGUCGAACUCCUUUGUAUGUAUGGAUCAGUUUUCAGCAUUUUAUCCUUUGCACUUUCAAUGUCAUGAAAUAAUCUUUGAUUCCCUUUACUAUGAAGUUUUUUGUCAGCAUCACUUCCUCUGGGAUAUCUUCAUCCUUUCUGUCGUGGCCACUUUCCUCUUUAUGUCAAUAAUUUUGCCUCCACUGAGUUUUUCUGGCUAGAUAUUAAGAGUGUCUCAAACAGUGGAAGUAUCAACAUUUCCAUGGUCAGCUGUUUCUUCUAUAACACCGUUCAAUUGAUCUUCCCUACCAAUAUCUUCAUUUUUAGUUUCUUUGCUGCAUUUUCAUCUUUGUUGUCCAAUUCCCUCAUUUGAUUAUUCAUUUUUGUAAAAUGUUAUGGGGAUUUAUUACAGAGAGAGAAACAAGGAGGCAACACAAGUAACUACAUAUUGUGCUUUCUGUGCAUGAAGUGAACAAUAGGUAUGCUUCAACUAAUCACUAUCACUGACACAUUUUGAAGUGAUGUGACUAGUCAAUGAUCACAGUGCUCAUCUGUUGUUUUGUACUGACUUGUGGGCUGAAGAGCUAGCAGUAAGUUUGUGCUUUAUGCAGUUUUCACAGUAAGUCUUUGUUACAAAUUUGUAUCGCCUUAUUGGGAGACUUGUUAUUUAAGUAAACCACAGUAACUGAAAUUUUAAAAUAUUGGAACCAUCAAAUCCAGACCCAAAACAUUAAUACCUACACAUACUCUCUAGGGUUAAAAUAUCUGAGCUAAAUUUAUAUUUAAAUUUGCAAGAGACAGCUUUCAUACAAAUAUAUCCAUUUAUAUAUAAAUAUGUUUAUAUGUAUACAUACAGUCUAUGUUUUCAUAUAUAUAACUAGGUUAUAUAUAAUUCAAUUAUAUAUAAUUUAUAUGUAAUAGGCUGUAUAUAGAGAUAUAGAUUAUAUAAAUAAAAUUAUAGCUGUAGCCUAUUUAUUGGCCUAGUAAAAACCAUAUAAUACUACAACAGACUAGACCUUCAUUUGAGCACACAAGUAAGUCUGUUUUGAGUGAGAGCUUCUUUGAGUGAUUCUGUGAACUUCAUUGCGUUUGGUCUAGCUGAACUUGACAUUCCUUUUAAUUUUUCUACUAACGCGCCAGCUCCGAUGCUCCACAUUCUUACAACUAACUCAUGAUCAGCUUUUAUUUCUCAGAUCUCCUGUAAUUCCAUCUUAAGCUCUUAUUUAUUUGGAGACCUUCACCGCAAUAUACUUUUCCCAGCCAUUAAUUUCAGUAUUGUCUGGGUUUUUUGUUUGUUUUUGUAGCAGAUUGUUCAUUCUGCUGAUUGUUGUAUAUUAGUUUGGGGUUACAGUUUCUUGUAUGAAUAUGUAUAACUCUCCUACUACUUUGUAAAGCCAGGGCAGUUACUAAACAUUUAGCAUUGAGUCUGGCAUGUAGUAAGUCCUCAUACAUGAUAGUUUCUUUGUCUCUUUGCUGUCUCUAGUAAAAGUAGCUGCACGUAUCAGGGACUUAUAUUUUAAAAUUUUAAUUGUAACUUUGGCUCUGCAGUGCCCAUGUCAGGCUUUUACUUGUCAGGCAAAUUGUUAUGGUAUACCAUUUUCUUUUUCUCCUUUAUUUGAAUCUCCCCUCUUUAAGAUUUUCUUACUACCCUUACAUGUUUUAGAUUCUUGUUUUUGCAAUUGUGGAUUAUUUUCAUCUCUUUUUAGUCUUCUCCUGUCUGUUCUAAUUCUCAAAAUCAAGUUUUUCCAUCUCUGACCAUAUGCUUAGUUGGCAUUGAUUGUACACUUCCUGUGAGUUUAUGCAUUUACAUAAAUUACACUACAAUGGGGCAUUUUUCUUAUUAAUUAAGAAAUACUAGUAUUCAUUAAGGAAUUAUUGCUCUGUAGUUAUAAAUUCUUUAAGUUAAAUGCAAAAUAUCAAAGCAGCUUCUGAUUUUUUUCUUUUUGUUACAGAAAAAACUCCCAUGUCUGCACAUUCAUAGUGUGCAUGGAAGAAGAGGGAAAAAUACCUUUUUACAGUUUUGGUGCUUGGGGCUUAUUGUUAUUAUUGGUAGCUGGUUUAUAGAAAUUUGAGAUAUUUUUGACUUUCUAUAUUAAAAUUUACUAUAAUAGUCUUACAUGAAAAUCUUUAGAUAAGCAGGAGGAUUUGCCAAAAUAAUUUUUUUAUCAGAUUUUAAGGUUUUGUGUGUAUUUCUAAUUUUUGUUUCAAUUGCUUUUCCUGUCUGCUUUCAACUUAGCAUGAGGGCUUCCUAUCUAAUAUCAAAUAAAAUUAUGUUAAAUAUGAAUAUAUUAGAUACAGAUUGUAGGAGGGGGGGAUGGUUAAGUGAGGUAUCCUAAUUGAUCUAUACUUAACUCUAAAUUCCAAUACUCUACGGCAAUACCAUCAAAUGACAGUAAAAGUUGUGUUAUCACUUCAGUGAAAUCAUUUCUUAACAUAAGAAGACUGAUUUUGACUUACUAGUUUUAGAAUAAGAUUAAGUAAGAAGACUUAAAGGCCCACCUUUGAACUCAUAAAAAGCCUGGCCUAGUGAAAAAGCAUAUUUUACUGGUUUGCUUGCUUAAAAUUAUUUAAGACUCAUAUUUUACCUUGGAGAUGAUUUUGCCUAUAAAUUAAUAAAGAUGUAUGUUUCUGG